CUUAAUUUUCACAAUAUAUUACAUUUUUUAUUGUGAUUCUAACAAUGCAACAAAUUCUAAUUUUAUUUCUUUCACGAUUUUUCGUUUAUUUUAUGAGAUCCAAAAGAACACAAUUUUUCUAUAUGAAAUCUUACAAGGAGAGAUCCCCAAGUGGAAUCCACCGAUUUUGUUGUAGACUAUGUCUUCCUGAAUGUAGUGAUGCCCCCUUUUGCCGGCGGACGGUCGGCCAUUUGAGAUAUUGCGGGUCGGGGUUUUUGGCGAAUGUUUGGCUGCAGUUUGGAGUCGCCUAAUUGAACGGGCUGUCGUGGCCUUGGG
RNAcentral lists this long non-coding RNA (315 nucleotides) under Androctonus crassicauda. The record is from RNAcentral. Lineage: Eukaryota; Metazoa; Arthropoda; Arachnida; Scorpiones; Buthidae.